RNAcentral lists this small RNA (154 nucleotides) under Leptospira interrogans serovar Canicola. Its description in RNAcentral is "5.8S ribosomal RNA". It matches the Rfam family "Bacterial large subunit ribosomal RNA", at positions 13 to 184 of the family's 2925-position model. Lineage: Bacteria; Pseudomonadati; Spirochaetota; Leptospiria; Leptospirales; Leptospiraceae. The record is from RNAcentral.
AAGGGCGUACGGGGGAUGCCCGGGCAUCAGGACGCGAUGAAGGACGUGGCUUUCUGCGAUAAGCAACGGGGAGUUGUAAGCAAGCAUUGAUCCGUUGAUUUCCGAAUGGGGCAACCCUCUUGGUGAAUAACCGAGAACGCAAACGCGAGCAAAG